UAGGUACAGCAGAUAGCAACUUGUAGCGAUACAAGAGGAAAGUCCGAGCUGCUAUAAGACAGUGUUCCAUUUAACUAAUGGCCGUAGUAAUGCGAGGGAAAGUGCAACAGAAAGUAAACUUCCACUUAGGUGGUAAAGGUGAAAGGGCGGGGUAAGAGCCCACCAGUCUUUAUAGUAAUAUAGAGAGCUUGUAAACCCAACAUGGCAGCAAGAAACAGGUGGUCAGCGUCUUAUAAUGCUACUGUUUCGCUAGACGCACUAUGUAAAUUGUGAUGUAGAUUAAUGCUAUUUAAACAAAACUCGGCUUACAGCUGUGCCUAACUU
Molecule: RNase P RNA, 324 nt
Filed under: Candidatus Sulfurimonas marisnigri
Lineage: Bacteria; Pseudomonadati; Campylobacterota; Epsilonproteobacteria; Campylobacterales; Sulfurimonadaceae
Description: Bacterial RNase P class A
Rfam family: Bacterial RNase P class A
About the family: Ribonuclease P (RNase P) is a ubiquitous endoribonuclease, found in archaea, bacteria and eukarya as well as chloroplasts and mitochondria. Its best characterised activity is the generation of mature 5'-ends of tRNAs by cleaving the 5'-leader elements of precursor-tRNAs.
Source: Rfam by way of RNAcentral